Molecule: ribosomal RNA, 463 nt
Filed under: Boophis luteus
Lineage: Eukaryota; Metazoa; Chordata; Amphibia; Anura; Mantellidae
Description: partial 12S ribosomal RNA
Rfam family: Bacterial small subunit ribosomal RNA
Source: RNAcentral
GNNNNNGUAUUACGAGCCCUCGCUUAAAAUCCAAAGGACUUGACGGUGUCCCACCCNCCUAGAGGAGCCUGUUCUGUAAUCGAUGACCCCCGCUACACCUCACCAUUUCUCGCUUCCACGCAGCCUGUAUACCUCCGUCGCAAGCUUGCCACAUGAAUGAACCACAGCAAGCUCAAUGGUUCCCCCACCAAUACGUCAGGUCAAGGUGCAGCCUAUGAAAUGGCACACAAUGGGCUACAAUUUCUAAUCUAGAACAAACGAACUACCAUCUGAAACCCUGGUUAUGAAGGUGGAUUUAGCAGUAAGGGGAGAUAAUAGUGCUCCCCUUAAUAGCGGCCCUGGGACGCGUACAAACCGCCCGUCACCCCCUUCGAUAGCUUAUCCAUAAGUCAAUAACAAAAUAUCCGCGUCUUAUAAGGGGCAAGUCGUAACAUGGUAAGCGUACUGGAAGGUGUGCUUGGAC